UGAUUAGGGCAUGUGCUUAAGUGGCUCCUUGAGUUGGAGCCUCUGGCUUUGAACAGGCACUCCCAUUCUCUGUGUGUUAUGCAGACAGAACUAACUAAAUACUCGCUUGUUUUCUAUAGCACUGACCAGAACCACCUCAAGCACCAGGGCAGCAGACACAAGCAGGAAAAUUGACUCUGAUCAUCCCUGGGGUCGUUUAACUAAAACACACAUUUCGGUCGAGCCAAGUGUUCACCAGCGCUUUUCAACUCCCCUGGUGUCAAAACAAUUAGCAGAUCACAGCAGCACCGACUCGCUGGUGCUGCAAUGGAAGCAUCUGGCCAGCACAUGGAGACGCAAUGCCAGCACAGACAAAUGUGACCAGAAGGAAUCUGACACAACCAACCCUUCCUUUGCAAUCAACGUGGGAUCCAAAACAAACCUUCGGCGCUCUCGGCAUCGCUGCCCAGGGAACCAGGCAUCCUGCAAAUAAACACUGAAUUGCAAAU
Molecule: long non-coding RNA, 488 nt
Filed under: Gallus gallus (chicken)
Lineage: Eukaryota; Metazoa; Chordata; Aves; Galliformes; Phasianidae
Description: long non-coding RNA NONGGAT003239
Source: RNAcentral